This 390-nucleotide ribosomal RNA is filed under the name uncultured bacterium. RNAcentral describes it as "partial 16S ribosomal RNA". It matches the Rfam family "Bacterial small subunit ribosomal RNA", at positions 355 to 762 of the family's 1533-position model. The record is from RNAcentral.
UGGGGAAUAUUGGACAAUGGGGGCAACCCUGAUCCAGCAAUGCCGCGUGUGUGAAGAAGGUUUUCGGAUUGUAAAGCACUUUCGACGGGGACGAUGAUGACGGUACCCGUAGAAGAAGCCCCGGCUAACUUCGUGCCAGCAGCCGCGGUAAUACGAAGGGGGCUAGCGUUGCUCGGAAUGACUGGGCGUAAAGGGCGUGUAGGCGGUUUGUACAGUCAGAUGUGAAAUCCCCGGGCUUAACCUGGGAGCUGCAUUUGAUACGUGCAGACUAGAGUGUGAGAGAGGGUUGUGGAAUUCCCAGUGUAGAGGUGAAAUUCGUAGAUAUUGGGAAGAACACCGGUGGCGAAGGCGGCAACCUGGCUCAUAACUGACGCUGAGGCGCGAAAGCGU